UACGUAGGCAGCAAGCGUUGUUCGGAGUUACUGGGCGUAAAGAGUAUGUAGGCGGUUGGGCAAGUUCGAUGUGAAAUCUCCCGGCUUAACUGGGAGGGUGCGUCGAAGACUGCCUAGCUAGAGUGCGGGAGAGGAAAGCGGAAUUCCUGGUGUAGCGGUGAAAUGCGUAGAUAUCAGGAGGAACACCUGCGGUGUAGACGGCUUUCUGGACCGUGACUGACGCUGAGAUACGAAAGCGUGGGUAGCAAACAGG
This 253-nucleotide ribosomal RNA is filed under the name uncultured bacterium. RNAcentral describes it as "partial 16S ribosomal RNA". It matches the Rfam family "Bacterial small subunit ribosomal RNA", at positions 524 to 776 of the family's 1533-position model. The record is from RNAcentral.